Molecule: long non-coding RNA, 366 nt
Organism: Triticum aestivum (bread wheat)
Lineage: Eukaryota; Viridiplantae; Streptophyta; Magnoliopsida; Poales; Poaceae
Exons: 2
Source: RefSeq, a predicted model, not a curated record
CGCGAACUCAAAUCCCCAACGCGUAGCCGCCAGCUCCAGCUUGCCGACGGUGGCGGCGGGCCAGAUCCGGUGCCUAGCUGGGCGAUUGCGCCUGGUGGAGGUCCAGAUCCAUCCACGACCGUCUUGUCGCCGGCGUUCUGGCUGCCCCGGCGGACCUCCUCUGUCCGAAGCUGAGACCUUGUGCGGGCAAGUUUUCCAAGAUCAAAGCUCGUCGACUAGUACUACGUUCGUCCUCCGCUGUUUUGUUGCUGCAUCUCGAACUGAAAAUGGAAGGAAGUAGUGGAACGUCGCCUUUAGAAGAGCCCACCGUUCCAGUAAUCCCAAACUGUGUACCAACACUAUCAGGUGAGAAGACACAGUCUAAAA